Molecule: small nuclear RNA, 137 nt
Filed under: Nannospalax galili (Upper Galilee mountains blind mole rat)
Lineage: Eukaryota; Metazoa; Chordata; Mammalia; Rodentia; Spalacidae
Description: U1 spliceosomal RNA (ENSNGAG00000002961.1)
Source: RNAcentral
AUUCUUACCUGGAAGUGGAGAUACCAUGACCAUGAAGGUCCUUUACGCAGCAAAGCUUAUUCAUUGCACUUUAGAUGUGCCAAACCCUGAAAUUUCCCAGUAUGCAUGAAAUUGGACUGUGUUCUUGCUUUUCCUGU